AGAGUUUGAUCCUGGCUCAGGAUGAACGCUGGCGGCGUGCCUAAUACAUGCAAGUCGAGCGAACGGACGAGAAGCUUGCUUCUCUGAUGUUAGCGGCGGACGGGUGAGUAACACGUGGAUAACCUACCUAUAAGACUGGGAUAACUUCGGGAAACCGGAGCUAAUACCGGAUAAUAUUUUGAACCGCAUGGUUCAAAAGUGAAAGACGGUCUUGCUGUCACUUAUAGAUGGAUCCGCGCUGCAUUAGCUAGUUGGUAAGGUAACGGCUUACCAAGGCAACGAUGCAUAGCCGACCUGAGAGGGUGAUCGGCCACACUGGAACUGAGACACGGUCCAGACUCCUACGGGAGGCAGCAGUAGGGAAUCUUCCGCAAUGGGCGAAAGCCUGACGGAGCAACGCCGCGUGAGUGAUGAAGGUCUUCGGAUCGUAAAACUCUGUUAUUAGGGAAGAACAUAUGUGUAAGUAACUGUGCACAUCUUGACGGUACCUAAUCAGAAAGCCACGGCUAACUACGUGCCAGCAGCCGCGGUAAUACGUAGGUGGCAAGCGUUAUCCGGAAUUAUUGGGCGUAAAGCGCGCGUAGGCGGUUUUUUAAGUCUGAUGUGAAAGCCCACGGCUCAACCGUGGAGGGUCAUUGGAAACUGGAAAACUUGAGUGCAGAAGAGGAAAGUGGAAUUCCAUGUGUAGCGGUGAAAUGCGCAGAGAUAUGGAGGAACACCAGUGGCGAAGGCGACUUUCUGGUCUGUAACUGACGCUGAUGUGCGAAAGCGUGGGGAUCAAACAGGAUUAGAUACCCUGGUAGUCCACGCCGUAAACGAUGAGUGCUAAGUGUUAGGGGGUUUCCGCCCCUUAGUGCUGCAGCUAACGCAUUAAGCACUCCGCCUGGGGAGUACGACCGCAAGGUUGAAACUCAAAGGAAUUGACGGGGACCCGCACAAGCGGUGGAGCAUGUGGUUUAAUUCGAAGCAACGCGAAGAACCUUACCAAAUCUUGACAUCCUUUGACAACUCUAGAGAUAGAGCCUUCCCCUUCGGGGGACAAAGUGACAGGUGGUGCAUGGUUGUCGUCAGCUCGUGUCGUGAGAUGUUGGGUUAAGUCCCGCAACGAGCGCA
This 1113-nucleotide ribosomal RNA is filed under the name Staphylococcus aureus M0896. RNAcentral's name for it is "bacterial SSU rRNA". It matches the Rfam family "Bacterial small subunit ribosomal RNA", at positions 8 to 1100 of the family's 1533-position model. The record is from RNAcentral. Lineage: Bacteria; Bacillati; Bacillota; Bacilli; Caryophanales; Staphylococcaceae.